This 30-nucleotide non-coding RNA is filed under the name Mus musculus (house mouse). Lineage: Eukaryota; Metazoa; Chordata; Mammalia; Rodentia; Muridae. The record is from RNAcentral.
UGAAAAGGAAUUAAGUUGUCGAUGAGCCAU